Molecule: ribosomal RNA, 1295 nt
Filed under: uncultured bacterium
Lineage: Bacteria
Description: bacterial SSU rRNA
Rfam family: Bacterial small subunit ribosomal RNA
Source: RNAcentral
CGAGUGGCGGACGGGUGAGUAACGCGUGGGUAACCUACCUCAUGCAGGGGGACAACAGUUGGAAACGGCUGCUAAUACCGCAUAAGCGCACAGCUUCGCAUGAAGCAGUGUGAAAAGCCUUAACGGCAUGAGAUGGACCCGCGUCUGAUUAGCUAGUUGGUGAGGUAACGGCCCACCAAGGCGACGAUCAGUAGCCGACCUGAGAGGGUGACCGGCCACAUUGGGACUGAGACACGGCCCAAACUCCUACGGGAGGCAGCAGUGGGGAAUAUUGCACAAUGGGCGGAAGCCUGAUGCAGCGACGCCGCGUGAGGGAUGACGGCCUUCGGGUUGUAAACCUCUUUCGACUCCGACGAAGCGAAAGUGACGGUAGGAGCAUAAGAAGCACCGGCCAACUACGUGCCAGCAGCCGCGGUAAUACGUAGGGUGCGAGCGUUGUCCGGAAUUACUGGGCGUAAAGAGCUUGUAGGCGGCUUGUCGCGUCGAUCGUGAAAACUCGGGGCUCAACCCCGAGCUUGCGGUCGAUACGGGCAGGCUUGAGUACUUCAGGGGAGACUGGAAUUCCUGGUGUAGCGGUGAAAUGCGCAGAUAUCAGGAGGAACACCGGUGGCGAAGGCGGGUCUCUGGGAAGUAACUGACGCUGAGAAGCGAAAGCGUGGGUAGCGAACAGGAUUAGAUACCCUGGUAGUCCACGCCGUAAACGGUGGGUACUAGGUGUGGGUUUCCUUCCACGGGAUCCGUGCCGUAGCUAACGCAUUAAGUACCCCGCCUGGGGAGUACGGCCGCAAGGCUAAAACUCAAAGGAAUUGACGGGGGCCCGCACAAGCGGCGGAGCAUGUGGAUUAAUUCGAUGCAACGCGAAGAACCUUACCUGGGUUUGACAUACACCGGAAACCUGCAGAGAUGUAGGCCCCCUUGUGGUCGGUGUACAGGUGGUGCAUGGCUGUCGUCAGCUCGUGUCGUGAGAUGUUGGGUUAAGUCCCGCAACGAGCGCAACCCUUAUCUUAUGUUGCCAGCGCGUAAUGGCGGGGACUCGUGAGAGACUGCCGGGGUCAACUCGGAGGAAGGUGGGGACGACGUCAAAUCAUCAUGCCCUUUAUGUCUUGGGCUUCACGCAUGCUACAAUGGCCGGUACAAAGAGAAGCGAGACCGCGAGGUGGAGCGAAUCUCAGAAAGCCGGUCUCAGUUCGGAUCGUAGUCUGCAACUCGACUACGUGAAGUCGGAGUCGCUAGUAAUCGCAGAUCAGCAAUGCUGCGGUGAAUACGUUCCCGGGCCUUGCACUCACCGCCCGUCA